RNAcentral lists this ribosomal RNA (600 nucleotides) under Pseudomonas sp. 4a4. RNAcentral describes it as "bacterial SSU rRNA". It matches the Rfam family "Bacterial small subunit ribosomal RNA", at positions 58 to 653 of the family's 1533-position model. Lineage: Bacteria; Pseudomonadati; Pseudomonadota; Gammaproteobacteria; Pseudomonadales; Pseudomonadaceae. The record is from RNAcentral.
CAAGUCGAGCGGUAGAGAGAAGCUUGCUUCUCUUGAGAGCGGCGGACGGGUGAGUAAUGCCUAGGAAUCUGCCUGGUAGUGGGGGAUAACGUUCGGAAACGGACGCUAAUACCGCAUACGUCCUACGGGAGAAAGCAGGGGACCUUCGGGCCUUGCGCUAUCAGAUGAGCCUAGGUCGGAUUAGCUAGUUGGUGAGGUAAUGGCUCACCAAGGCGACGAUCCGUAACUGGUCUGAGAGGAUGAUCAGUCACACUGGAACUGAGACACGGUCCAGACUCCUACGGGAGGCAGCAGUGGGGAAUAUUGGACAAUGGGCGAAAGCCUGAUCCAGCCAUGCCGCGUGUGUGAAGAAGGUCUUCGGAUUGUAAAGCACUUUAAGUUGGGAGGAAGGGCAGUUACCUAAUACGUGAUUGUUUUGACGUUACCGACAGAAUAAGCACCGGCUAACUCUGUGCCAGCAGCCGCGGUAAUACAGAGGGUGCAAGCGUUAAUCGGAAUUACUGGGCGUAAAGCGCGCGUAGGUGGUUUGUUAAGUUGGAUGUGAAAUCCCCGGGCUCAACCUGGGAACUGCAUUCAAAACUGACUGACUAGAGUAUGGUA